RNAcentral lists this ribosomal RNA (443 nucleotides) under uncultured bacterium. RNAcentral describes it as "partial 16S ribosomal RNA". It matches the Rfam family "Bacterial small subunit ribosomal RNA", at positions 338 to 795 of the family's 1533-position model. The record is from RNAcentral.
CCUACGGGUGGCAGCAGUGGGGAAUAUUGGGCAAUGGAGGAAACUCUGACCCAGCAACGCCGCGUGAAUGAUGAAGGUCUUCGGAUUGUAAAGUUCUUUUCUAAGGGAAGAAGCAAGUGACGGUACCUUAGGAAUAAGCCUUGGCUAACUACGUGCCAGCAGCCGCCGUAAUACGUAGGAGGCGAGCGUUAUCCGGAAUGACUGGGCGUAAAGGGUGUGUAGGGGGUUUGGCAAGCUAGUUGGGUAACUUCAAGGCUCAACCUUGGAACUACUACUAAAACUGGUGGACUUGAGUGCAGGAGAGGCAAGCGGAAUGCGUGGUGUAGCGGUGGAAUGCGUAGAUAUUAGGAAGAACACCAGUGGCGAAGGCGGGUUGCUGGACUGUAACUGACGCUGAGGCACGAAAGCGUGGGGAGCGAACAGGAUUAGAUACCCGGGUAGUC